RNAcentral lists this ribosomal RNA (205 nucleotides) under uncultured bacterium. RNAcentral describes it as "partial 16S ribosomal RNA". It matches the Rfam family "Bacterial small subunit ribosomal RNA", at positions 568 to 774 of the family's 1533-position model. The record is from RNAcentral.
AGGCAGGCGGUUUGAUAAGUCUGAAGUUAAAGGCUGUGGCUCAACCAUAGUUCGCUUUGGAAACUGUCAAACUUGAGUGCAGAAGGGGAGAGUGGAAUUCCAUGUGUAGCGGUGAAAUGCGUAGAUAUAUGGAGGAACACCGGUGGCGAAAGCGGCUCUCUGGUCUGUAACUGACGCUGAGGCUCGAAAGCGUGGGGAGCGAACA